Molecule: ribosomal RNA, 548 nt
Filed under: uncultured bacterium
Lineage: Bacteria
Description: bacterial SSU rRNA
Rfam family: Bacterial small subunit ribosomal RNA
Source: RNAcentral
GGAAUUCGCCCUUAGAGUUUGAUCCUGGCUCAGAUUGAACGCUGGCGGCAGGCUUAACACAUGCAAGUCGAGCGGUAACGGAUCUAGCUUGCUAGAUGCUGACGAGCGGCGGACGGGUGAGUAACGCGUAGAAAACUGCCCAGUAGUGGGGGAUAGCCCGGGGAAACUCGGAUUAAUACCGUAUACGCUCUACGGAGGAAAGGGGGCUUCGGCUCUCGCUAUUGGAUGUGUCUGCGUGGGAUUAGCUAGUUGGUGAGGUAAAGGCUCACCAAGGCGACGAUCUCUAGCUGGUCUGAGAGGAUGAUCAGCCACACUGGGACUGAGACACGGCCCAGACUCCUACGGGAGGCAGCAGUGGGGAAUAUUGCACAAUGGGGGAAACCCUGAUGCAGCCAUGCCGCGUGUGUGAAGAAGGCUUUCGGGUUGUAAAGCACUUUCAGUGGGGAGGAAAAGUUAGUAGUUAAUACCUGCUAACCGUGACGUUACCCACAGAAGAAGCACCGGCUAACUCCGUGCCAGCAGCCGCGGUAAUACGGAGGGUGCAAGCG